UUCCGUUGUGAGAUGUAAACA
Molecule: non-coding RNA, 21 nt
Filed under: Caenorhabditis elegans
Lineage: Eukaryota; Metazoa; Nematoda; Chromadorea; Rhabditida; Rhabditidae
Source: RNAcentral